UAAAUAUUUCCAAAACGUUAAGCUACUCAUCAAGCUCUUGAAAUCAAAACUAUUUAAUUACAAUAUUUAGCCAUUUUGAUACAUUUGGCUAUAAUUCAACAAAUUAUUAAUUGAUUUUCAGCAGUUUGUUAAUUUCAGCAAAUCUUUUUCGUGUUUCCUCCAUAUGAAAUUCAACUACUUCAGCUUCUUCUGCAAAUAUUCAGCACUGUUUAAUCAAUUCCUAUUUCUCCUUAGAUACAUUCAACUAUGCUUUACAUGAUUGAGCUAUUUCAUCUGUUUUAAAUGUUUCAGUUACUUUCAGCAACUCUUCAGGAAUAUUUUCAGCUUGGAAGCAUUCACUGUGCAUUUUCUUAUGGAAAUGCUUUUUCUAGUUAUUCUUAUUAUUUUCGCCCUGUUUUUCGGCCGCUAUCUACUUCUCAACGCUUCAUCGUAGAAUCAUCGUUCAACGUUCUAAACGUGCGUCAUCGUUAGACGAUGCAGGCUAUUACUUUUCACGUUUUCAGCUUUUCAACUUUUAACGUUAUUCAACGUUUUUCGUCGUUUUUUUAUAAUGGUCGUCUAUGGGAAUCAUCGUUCAACUUUUAGUCAACUUGCCUCUCUUCUUCAGCUUCUCUCAUCGUCAUACUUUAGCGUAGAAAUGUCAUUUCAACGGCAAAAGCAUCUAUCAUCUUUCAACGUUCUCUGUGUAAAUCAGCGUCCUCAUAUCUUUUAUAGUUUUUGACUUGUGAGCGUUUAAAUAUCGUGUGUUUUUUGUAAAAUUUUCAGCUUUUCCAUUAGUGUGUAUUGCGUCUGCUAGAGUGCGUGAUGUCACAGCUACAGUGAGAAGGUGCGCUUUUUUAAGACAGAACUUCUGUCUCUAACUCGUCACUACAGCCACAAUUUUUACUCUAUCAACGUAAUUAUUUCACUAAAUCGUAGUCAUACUUGUCGUCUUUCUAAUGAUGUGUCUGGCUUUACCCUCAGACGUAUACUUUAGUCGCUAUCAACCUCAAAGCUUUAGCAGUUACUAGCUUUAACUGCACUGUUUUUGCCUUUGAAUGGGUAAUUAUGAUUUAUGAUUAUUUAAAGACUAAUUGACAGUUACGCUAUUACCCCCACACAUUUCCUCUAAAUCCUUUCAAAAUAAAAGCACCAAUUACAAUUUAUUACCUUUAAUG
RNAcentral lists this long non-coding RNA (1157 nucleotides) under Betta splendens (Siamese fighting fish). Its description in RNAcentral is "lncRNA (ENSBSLG00000008579.1)". The record is from RNAcentral. Lineage: Eukaryota; Metazoa; Chordata; Actinopteri; Anabantiformes; Osphronemidae.